UAAUAAGUGUUUUAUGGCACUUUUUAAAUCCAUAUCCACCUUGUGUGCAAUGUCGGUCGAUCUUCUUUUUUGAGGAUCGACCAAGCAUCAACCUUUAUUUUCUAACUCUUUGUCUGAAAAAUAUUAUGAAUAAACAAUUCAAAAUA
This 146-nucleotide unclassified non-coding RNA is filed under the name soil metagenome. Its description in RNAcentral is "partial internal transcribed spacer 1". The record is from RNAcentral.